UGGGGAAUUUUGGACAAUGGGCGAAAGCCUGAUCCAGCAAUGCCGCGUGUGUGAAGAAGGCCUUCGGGUUGUAAAGCACUUUUGUCCGGAAAGAAAUCCUUGGCUCUAAUACAGUCGGGGGAUGACGGUACCGGAGGAAUAAGCACCGGCUAACUACGUGCCAGCAGCCGCGGUAAUACGUAGGGUGCAAGCGUUAAUCGGAAUUACUGGGCGUAAAGCGUGCGCAGGCGGUUUGCUAAGACCGAUGUGAAAUCCCCGGGCUCAACCUGGGAACUGCAUUGGUGACUGGCAGGCUAGAGUAUGGCAGAGGGGGGUAGAAUUCCACGUGUAGCAGUGAAAUGCGUAGAGAUGUGGAGGAAUACCGAUGGCGAAGGCAGCCCCCUGGGCCAAUACUGACGCUCAUGCACGAAAGCGUGGGGAGCAAACAGGAUUAGAUACCCUGGUAGUCCACGCCCUAAACGAUGUCAACUAGUUGUUGGGGAUUCAUUUCCUUAGUAACGUAGCUAACGCGUGAAGUUGACCGCCUGGGGAGUACGGUCGCAAGAUUAAAACUCAAAGGAAUUGACGGGGUCAUAGCUGUUUCCU
Molecule: ribosomal RNA, 585 nt
Filed under: uncultured bacterium
Lineage: Bacteria
Description: partial 16S ribosomal RNA
Rfam family: Bacterial small subunit ribosomal RNA
Source: RNAcentral